CAAUAGCGUAUAUUAAAGUUGUUGCGGUAAAAAAGCUCGUAGUUGGAUUUCUACCGAAGAUAGCCGGUCGGGUCUUCGACCUUGUAUCUGGUUUUGUCUUUGGUAUCCUCAUAGGGAACGUUUCUGCGCUUUAUUGCGUGGUGCGGUAUCUAUGACUUUUACUUUGAGGAAAUUAGAGUGUUCACGGCAGGCAAACGCCUUGAAUAUAUUAGCAUGGAAUAAUAACAUAGGACCUUCGUCCUAUUUUGUUGGUUUCUAGGGCUAAGAUAAUGAUUAAUAGGGAUAAUUGGGGGCAUCUGUAUCAACGCGUCAGAGGUGGAAUUCUUGGAUUGCGUUGCGACAAGCUACUGCGAAAGCAUUUGCCAAGGAUGUUUUCAUUGA
RNAcentral lists this ribosomal RNA (381 nucleotides) under uncultured eukaryote. RNAcentral's name for it is "partial 18S ribosomal RNA". It matches the Rfam family "Eukaryotic small subunit ribosomal RNA", at positions 592 to 976 of the family's 1831-position model. The record is from RNAcentral.